AGGUAGCUCAGUGGUAGAGUUCUUGCCUUGCAUGCACAGAGCCCUGGGUUCAAUUUCCAGCAUACCUA
This 68-nucleotide transfer RNA is filed under the name Urocitellus parryii (Arctic ground squirrel). RNAcentral's name for it is "Spermophilus parryii (Arctic ground squirrel) tRNA". It matches the Rfam family "tRNA". From Rfam's summary of the family: Transfer RNA (tRNA) molecules are approximately 80 nucleotides in length. RNAcentral also lists the same sequence under 2 other names. Lineage: Eukaryota; Metazoa; Chordata; Mammalia; Rodentia; Sciuridae. The record is from Rfam by way of RNAcentral.